ACAACAUUUGCAUUGCAACACAUGUAAAUGACUACAAUUUCACAAGUCAGCUUCAAUUACAUGCAGCUGAACAUAUCGCACAAAGAUGGUUGGACGAAUUAGAAAAAGAUGAGGGAUACGAGAAACCUUUUUCACCGCCAUCAUUUUACACUAUAUUUAAUGAGGAAAUUCUUUCUGAUAUCUCCCCUCCAUCACAGACAAGCUGUACAGACGAAAACGAUGGACCAUACGGACCGCAAUACAAUAUUACCAACUUACUACCCAAAA
Aphis gossypii (cotton aphid) is the source of this 267-nucleotide long non-coding RNA. RefSeq lists it as uncharacterized. NCBI's taxonomy places the organism in Eukaryota, Metazoa, Arthropoda, Insecta, Hemiptera, Aphididae. The record is from RefSeq and is a predicted model, not a curated record. The transcript has 3 exons.